UACAGAGGGUGCUAGCGUUAAUCGGAAUUACUGGGCGUAAAGGAUGUGUAGGUGGUUCAAGUAAGUCAGAUGUAAAAACCCCGGGCUUAACCUGGGAAUGUCGUUUGAUACUGCUUAGCUAGAGUACUAUAGAGGACAGUGGAAUUUCCAGUGUAGCGGUGAAAUGCGUAGAUAUUGGAAGGAACACCAGUGGCGAAGGCGACUGUCUGGAUAGAAACUGACACUGAGACACGAAAGCAUGGGUAGCAAACAGG
RNAcentral lists this ribosomal RNA (254 nucleotides) under uncultured bacterium. RNAcentral's name for it is "partial 16S ribosomal RNA". It matches the Rfam family "Bacterial small subunit ribosomal RNA", at positions 524 to 776 of the family's 1533-position model. The record is from RNAcentral.